GGCUAUGGCUCAGUGGUAGAGCACUUGCCUAGCAUGUGUGAGGCCCUGGGUUCCAUCCUCAGUACCA
RNAcentral lists this transfer RNA (67 nucleotides) under Marmota monax (woodchuck). RNAcentral's name for it is "tRNA.Ala". It matches the Rfam family "tRNA", at positions 6 to 65 of the family's 71-position model. Rfam says of the family: Transfer RNA (tRNA) molecules are approximately 80 nucleotides in length. The record is from RNAcentral. Lineage: Eukaryota; Metazoa; Chordata; Mammalia; Rodentia; Sciuridae.